Mauremys reevesii (Reeves's turtle) is the source of this 1539-nucleotide long non-coding RNA. RefSeq lists it as uncharacterized. The transcript has 4 exons. Lineage: Eukaryota; Metazoa; Chordata; Testudines; Geoemydidae. The record is from RefSeq and is a predicted model, not a curated record.
GUGAGUCCUCCAGGCCUGCCUAGAAAGACUAUAUGGAAGCAACCAAUCAGAGCCCAGCAGGCUCAGAUAAAAGUCCCUGGCUGGCACUAGAGGAUCUAUGAAAAGUGAGCCUUGCAGGUCACAGGAGCUUGAGAAAGGACCAGAAAAAGGGUUCUGGUGGCAUUUUUGGCAUUCAAUUAGGAGAAAGAGACUCUGAGAACUUCAGCCCCAAGGGAAAGGUAAAGAGAAGGGGGCUAUGUAGGAAAAGGCCCAGGAAAUAGCAGCAGCAGCAAACUGGAGGGAGAAAUAUGUGGCUGCAGUGUAUAGGGUCCAUAGGUUGGUACCCAAAGUAGUGGGCAGGCCUGGGGCCCCCCUGCCAGACAGUGCUGGCGUGGCCAAAGCCCUGGAAAGGGGACAUGGCUAGUUUAAAAGCCCAAGAAAAGGAGCUAGAUAUAAGGGACCAGAGACAGGGCUGAAGACCCUGGUGAGAGCAAACCACCAGUUCUGGCUCGACUCUUUACAAAAAGCCCAAGAAAAGGGCUAGACUCCCAAGGGCCCAGAUACAGGGCUGAAGACACUAACAAGGGCACACCAAUUGUCCUUACUGGACCUUUGUAACCCUGGAUGGGGUGGGUUCAUUCAUUCAUUCGUGUUGACUGUGCAACUUCGCCAGAGGGCUGAGCCAUUGAAAACCUGCCUAAUGAGGCCUAUGGGGCGGCAUCAGGAGCAGGAAAAAGCCUGCAGCAGCAGGAGGCGCUCAAGAGGCAGAGGGAGGACUUGAGCCAGAGGUUAACCACAUCCAAGAUGGGGAAGUUGAGACAGAAAGGUCAAGUGUUCAAGGUCAAAACAGAAGGCAAUGGUCAGGUUAAGAAGCAAACCCUGGUUUCCUGAUUCUAACGGUGGUACAGUUUUAGAUAUUUGUGAGAAAACACUCAAAAUGACUGCAGUCAACAAAACUGACCUUUCUGAAAGUGAUCCAGCCAUCAGUGGACUAAGAACUACAUCUCCCACAGUGGAUGUAAAGCCAUCUGGCACCCAUUGUCAUAAAGACAUUUGUCUGAUGUAUGUUUAAGUAACACAAAUGAAAACAGGGACUGCUGGAGAUGGAUGUGAUUUCCAAGGAAGCAAUUGUCACUCAAGACUGUGGAGAAUGAGGGAGCUGUGUAUAUUUUUAUAAGUAUUAUAUGCACUUCUUAUCUGUUAUCCUGACUGACUGCCAGGCAUUAAAUCCAAGUAGGCAGUAAAUAGUAGAUGAAAAAAUGACAACAAUAAGGCUUUUUCGGGCAACAAUGCAGGGAGCUAUUAAUUGGGGAAUGUGCCUGCUUGACUCCCAGCAGGCUGGAAUAGCUUAUUCUUCCCAAGACUGAAAGCUAGGAUCAAAGUGGAUCCUAACCUUAAAGAUGGUGGCCUGGAGAAGGAGAGGAGUAAGGUUGUCAGAAGCCUGAGAAUGAAGACACAUAGAGAGCAUGAUUCAUGCAGAACAGUCUGCUUCUCACAGUCAGAGAUGGGGGUUAGCUGGGCUGAGAGGGACUAACAAAUUCUGACAAGGAAGGAUUAAGG